GGAAUCUUCCACAAUGGACGAAAGUCUGAUGGAGCAACGCCGCGUGAGUGAAGAAGGUCUUCGGAUCGUAAAACUCUGUUGUUAGAGAAGAACACGAGUGAGAGUAACUGUUCAUUCGAUGACGGUAUCUAACCAGCAAGUCACGGCUAACUACGUGCCAG
RNAcentral lists this ribosomal RNA (161 nucleotides) under uncultured bacterium. Its description in RNAcentral is "partial 16S rRNA". It matches the Rfam family "Bacterial small subunit ribosomal RNA", at positions 358 to 511 of the family's 1533-position model. The record is from RNAcentral.